This 435-nucleotide ribosomal RNA is filed under the name Triticum aestivum (bread wheat). RNAcentral's name for it is "partial small subunit ribosomal RNA". The record is from RNAcentral. Lineage: Eukaryota; Viridiplantae; Streptophyta; Magnoliopsida; Poales; Poaceae.
AUGGCCUCCGGCUCGAGUUCAUCCACUGCUAGAAAAGGAGGCUUUCACUUGAUGAGUUGCCUAAAAGAAGUUCCGACACUCAGAGGUGACAACCACACUGAGUGGAGGAAGAAAGUUGAACUGGCGUUUGUUUGUGCUGAUCUUGACUGGGUUGUGGAGAAACCACAGCCGGUCAGACCCACAGAGCCAGUAAGAGAGGCCACUGAUGAUGAUGCUGCAUGGGCUAAAAAGAAAGGGGACUAUGCUCCUUUGGAGCAGUCCUACCUCAUAGAUAACCAAAAGUGGGUCAAUACAAACAAAAAAUGCAUGGCCUUUAUAAAGAACACAAUUGAGAGCGUCAUUGUGGGCUCCAUUGCAGAGUGCACUUCCGCAGGGGAGUUGCUCUCAAAGAUAAAGAGCCAGUUCACUGGCUCUUCAAAGAUAUAUGCCACCUAG